RNAcentral lists this ribosomal RNA (756 nucleotides) under uncultured bacterium. RNAcentral describes it as "bacterial SSU rRNA". It matches the Rfam family "Bacterial small subunit ribosomal RNA", at positions 57 to 806 of the family's 1533-position model. The record is from RNAcentral.
GCAAGUCGAACGGGCUCACAUUGAAACCUAGUGAUGUAUGAGUUAGUGGCGGACGGGCGAGUAACGCGUGGAGAACCUGCCGUAUACUGGGGGAUAACACUUAGAAAUAGGUGCUAAUACCGCAUAAGCGCACAGCUUCGCAUGAAGCAGUGUGAAAAACUCCGGUGGUAUACGAUGGAUCCGCGUCUGAUUAGCUGGUUGGCGGGGUAACAGCCCACCAAGGCGACGAUCAGUAGCCGGCCUGAGAAGGUGAACGGCCACAUUGGGACUGAGACACGGCCCAAACUCCUACGGGAGGCAGCAGUGGGGAAUAUUGCACAAUGGGGGAAACCCUGAUGCAGCGACGCCGCGUGAGUGAAGAAGUAUUUCGGUAUGUAAAGCUCUAUCAGCAGGGAAGAAAUACUGACCUUACGGUCAGCAGACGGUACCUGACUAAGAAGCCCCGGCUAACUACGUGCCAGCAGCCGCGGUAAUACGUAGGGGGCAAGCGUUAUCCGGAUUUACUGGGUGUAAAGGGAGCGUAGACGGCAGCGCAAGUCUGAAGUGAAAUCCCAUGGCUUAACCAUGGAACUGCUUUGGAAACUGUGCAGCUAGAGUGCAGGAGAGGUAAGCGGAAUUCCUAGUGUAGCGGUGAAAUGCGUAGAUAUUAGGAGGAACACCAGUGGCGAAGGCGGCUUACUGGACUGUAACUGACGUUGAGGCUCGAAAGCGUGGGGAGCAAACAGGAUUAGAUACCCUGGUAGUCCACGCCGUAAA